RNAcentral lists this ribosomal RNA (2894 nucleotides) under Escherichia coli. Its description in RNAcentral is "bacterial LSU rRNA". It matches the Rfam family "Bacterial large subunit ribosomal RNA". The record is from RNAcentral. Lineage: Bacteria; Pseudomonadati; Pseudomonadota; Gammaproteobacteria; Enterobacterales; Enterobacteriaceae.
ACUAAGCGUACACGGUGGAUGCCCUGGCAGUCAGAGGCGAUGAAGGACGUGCUAAUCUGCGAUAAGCGUCGGUAAGGUGAUAUGAACCGUUAUAACCGGCGAUUUCCGAAUGGGGAAACCCAGUGUGAUUCGUCACACUAUCAUUAACUGAAUUCAUAGGUUAAUGAGGCGAACCGGGGGAACUGAAACAUCUAAGUACCCCGAGGAAAAGAAAUCAACCGAGAUUCCCCCAGUAGCGGCGAGCGAACGGGGAGGAGCCCAGAGCCUGAAUCAGUGUGUGUGUUAGUGGAAGCGUCUGGAAAGGCGCGCGAUACAGGGUGACAGCCCCGUACACAAAAAUGCACAUGCUGUGAGCUCGAUGAGUAGGGCGGGACACGUGGUAUCCUGUCUGAAUAUGGGGGGACCAUCCUCCAAGGCUAAAUACUCCUGACUGACCGAUAGUGAACCAGUACCGUGAGGGAAAGGCGAAAAGAACCCCGGCGAGGGGAGUGAAAAAGAACCUGAAACCGUGUACGUACAAGCAGUGGGAGCCUCUUUAUGGGGUGACUGCGUACCUUUUGUAUAAUGGGUCAGCGACUUAUAUUCUGUAGCAAGGUUAACCGAAUAGGGGAGCCGAAGGGAAACCGAGUCUUAACUGGGCGUUAAGUUGCAGGGUAUAGACCCGAAACCCGGUGAUCUAGCCAUGGGCAGGUUGAAGGUUGGGUAACACUAACUGGAGGACCGAACCGACUAAUGUUGAAAAAUUAGCGGAUGACUUGUGGCUGGGGGUGAAAGGCCAAUCAAACCGGGAGAUAGCUGGUUCUCCCCGAAAGCUAUUUAGGUAGCGCCUCGUGAAUUCAUCUCCGGGGGUAGAGCACUGUUUCGGCAAGGGGGUCAUCCCGACUUACCAACCCGAUGCAAACUGCGAAUACCGGAGAAUGUUAUCACGGGAGACACACGGCGGGUGCUAACGUCCGUCGUGAAGAGGGAAACAACCCAGACCGCCAGCUAAGGUCCCAAAGUCAUGGUUAAGUGGGAAACGAUGUGGGAAGGCCCAGACAGCCAGGAUGUUGGCUUAGAAGCAGCCAUCAUUUAAAGAAAGCGUAAUAGCUCACUGGUCGAGUCGGCCUGCGCGGAAGAUGUAACGGGGCUAAACCAUGCACCGAAGCUGCGGCAGCGACGCUUAUGCGUUGUUGGGUAGGGGAGCGUUCUGUAAGCCUGCGAAGGUGUACUGUGAGGUAUGCUGGAGGUAUCAGAAGUGCGAAUGCUGACAUAAGUAACGAUAAAGCGGGUGAAAAGCCCGCUCGCCGGAAGACCAAGGGUUCCUGUCCAACGUUAAUCGGGGCAGGGUGAGUCGACCCCUAAGGCGAGGCCGAAAGGCGUAGUCGAUGGGAAACAGGUUAAUAUUCCUGUACUUGGUGUUACUGCGAAGGGGGGACGGAGAAGGCUAUGUUGGCCGGGCGACGGUUGUCCCGGUUUAAGCGUGUAGGCUGGUUUUCCAGGCAAAUCCGGAAAAUCAAGGCUGAGGCGUGAUGACGAGGCACUACGGUGCUGAAGCAACAAAUGCCCUGCUUCCAGGAAAAGCCUCUAAGCAUCAGGUAACAUCAAAUCGUACCCCAAACCGACACAGGUGGUCAGGUAGAGAAUACCAAGGCGCUUGAGAGAACUCGGGUGAAGGAACUAGGCAAAAUGGUGCCGUAACUUCGGGAGAAGGCACGCUGAUACGUAGGUGAAGUCCCUUGCGGAUGGAGCUGAAAUCAGUCGAAGAUACCAGCUGGCUGCAACUGUUUAUUAAAAACACAGCACUGUGCAAACACGAAAGUGGACGUAUACGGUGUGACGCCUGCCCGGUGCCGGAAGGUUAAUUGAUGGGGUUAGCGGUAACGCGAAGCUCUUGAUCGAAGCCCCGGUAAACGGCGGCCGUAACUAUAACGGUCCUAAGGUAGCGAAAUUCCUUGUCGGGUAAGUUCCGACCUGCACGAAUGGCGUAAUGAUGGCCAGGCUGUCUCCACCCGAGACUCAGUGAAAUUGAACUCGCUGUGAAGAUGCAGUGUACCCGCGGCAAGACGGAAAGACCCCGUGAACCUUUACUAUAGCUUGACACUGAACAUUGAGCCUUGAUGUGUAGGAUAGGUGGGAGGCUUUGAAGUGUGGACGCCAGUCUGCAUGGAGCCGACCUUGAAAUACCACCCUUUAAUGUUUGAUGUUCUAACGUUGGCCCCUAAUCGGGGUUGCGGACAGUGUCUGGUGGGUAGUUUGACUGGGGCGGUCUCCUCCUAAAGAGUAACGGAGGAGCACGAAGGUUGGCUAAUCCUGGUCGGACAUCAGGAGGUUAGUGCAAUGGCAUAAGCCAGCUUGACUGCGAGCGUGACGGCGCGAGCAGGUGCGAAAGCAGGUCAUAGUGAUCCGGUGGUUCUGAAUGGAAGGGCCAUCGCUCAACGGAUAAAAGGUACUCCGGGGAUAACAGGCUGAUACCGCCCAAGAGUUCAUAUCGACGGCGGUGUUUGGCACCUCGAUGUCGGCUCAUCACAUCCUGGGGCUGAAGUAGGUCCCAAGGGUAUGGCUGUUCGCCAUUUAAAGUGGUACGCGAGCUGGGUUUAGAACGUCGUGAGACAGUUCGGUCCCUAUCUGCCGUGGGCGCUGGAGAACUGAGGGGGGCUGCUCCUAGUACGAGAGGACCGGAGUGGACGCAUCACUGGUGUUCGGGUUGUCAUGCCAAUGGCACUGCCCGGUAGCUAAAUGCGGAAGAGAUAAGUGCUGAAAGCAUCUAAGCACGAAACUUGCCCCGAGAUGAGUUCUCCCUGACUCCUUGAGAGUCCUGAAGGAACGUUGAAGACGACGACGUUGAUAGGCCGGGUGUGUAAGCGCAGCGAUGCGUUGAGCUAACCGGUACUAAUGAACCGUGAGGCUUAACC